UUCUUWSUKUAUUANCGUAAGUAUUUCCUGCUCAAUGAAUAUUUAAAUAGCCGCGGAAAYUUAACUGUGCUAAGGUAGCAUAAUCACUAGUUCUUUAAUUAAGAACUUGUAUGAAAGGAAAAACAUUUCAAUUACUCUCUUAUUUAAUUUAAUCUAAUUUAAAUUAAGAAUUAAAAUGUUCUUAUGCUUAAAAAAGACGAUAAGACCCUAUUGAACUUUACUAUUUGUUUAACUGGGGCAGUUAAAAAAUAAUAAUCUUUUUUAAAAAUUUUAUAUAGAAGAUCCAGUAAAACUGACUUUCGAACAAGUUACCAUAGGGAUAACAGCGUAAUGUCUUUUUAAAGCUCUUAUUUAAAAAGAAGAUUGCGACCUCGAUGUUGAAUUAAUGUCCCUUUAUUAGUGCAAUAACUUUAAAAGUAAGUCUGUUCGACUWWYAAAACAUUACA
RNAcentral lists this ribosomal RNA (446 nucleotides) under Cyclosa turbinata. RNAcentral describes it as "partial 16S ribosomal RNA". It matches the Rfam family "Bacterial large subunit ribosomal RNA", at positions 1832 to 2600 of the family's 2925-position model. The record is from RNAcentral. Lineage: Eukaryota; Metazoa; Arthropoda; Arachnida; Araneae; Araneidae.